AGUACCGUGAUUGCAAUGGAAGAGUAUAAAAGUGUGUCUAGAUAUGGGUUUAAAGCAUAUGUCAACUCUAUAUCUCCUGUAGUGGUUCACACAGAUCUAGACAAAUAUUUGCUAGAUCCAAUGGAAGAAAUUUCACCUACUGUAGAGUUCAACAUAUUAUCUUGGUGGAAGGCAAAUGAAAGCAAAUAUAAAAUUCUAGCAAUGAUGGCUCGAGAUGUGUUAGCUAUUCCUGUAUCUACAGUUGCUUCAGAAUCUGCAUUCAGUACAUCGGGAAGAAUUAUUAAUGAUUAUCGAUGUUCAACUACUCCCGAAAAUGUAGAGUCAUUAAUCUGCACACAAAGCUGGAUUCGUGAUGCAAGCAACUUGUGUAAAAGUUCUCAUGAUGCAGAGCACCAUUAUGACGAGGAAUGUUAAUCGAGUGCAUGCUUAUUAUGGUGGACAUUUCAAGCUACAACCAUGAAUUCUCUACUGACGACUGACGUUAUCAUUUCUUUGCAUUUUUUUGUUGCUCUCAGAUAUGGGUGUGACAUCUAUGUAUAAUAUCUUGUGCAAAGUCUUGAAGUUC
Nymphaea colorata (pocket water lily) is the source of this 565-nucleotide long non-coding RNA. RefSeq lists it as uncharacterized. The transcript is spliced from 3 exons. NCBI's taxonomy places the organism in Eukaryota, Viridiplantae, Streptophyta, Magnoliopsida, Nymphaeales, Nymphaeaceae. The record is from RefSeq and is a predicted model, not a curated record.